Molecule: long non-coding RNA, 255 nt
Organism: Centropristis striata (black sea bass)
Lineage: Eukaryota; Metazoa; Chordata; Actinopteri; Perciformes; Serranidae
Exons: 2
Source: RefSeq, a predicted model, not a curated record
UUAUUAGUUUUAGUUUUUUGUAAUGGGGUUUUAUUUGUUGGGUGGGAGAUUAAAAGAGGUCACAGUAAAUUUUGCCUUUAUUUCCUUUGUCUGAUCCAUCUUCAUUAUGUAUGAAAAAAGUUGACAAAGACGAAAACGAAGGACAUUUUCACUAUAAUUUUAGUUAGUUUUGUAACCACACAAUACAGUUUCAAUUAAUUAUCAUUAUCAUGUGACCUUUAACCCUUAAAACAAAGUCUGAAAUCUCAAAAAAGC